This 675-nucleotide ribosomal RNA is filed under the name Triticum aestivum (bread wheat). RNAcentral's name for it is "partial small subunit ribosomal RNA". Lineage: Eukaryota; Viridiplantae; Streptophyta; Magnoliopsida; Poales; Poaceae. The record is from RNAcentral.
AUGGUUAGGAGUGUACCGAUUGGUGAGAAGCUCUUCAUAGGAGGAGACCUCAAUGGCCACGUGGGUACAUCUAACACAGGUUUUGAAGGGGCGCAUGGGGGCUUUGGCUAUGGCAUCAGGAAUCAAGAAGGAGAAGAUGUCUUAAGCUUUGCUCUAGCCUACAACAUGAUUGUAGCUAACACCCUCUUUAGAAAGAGAGAAUCGCAUCUGGUGACUUUUAGUAGUGGCCAACACUCUAGCCAGAUUGAUUUCAUCCUCUCAAGAAGAGAAGAUAGGCGUGCGUGCCUAGACUGUAAGGUGAUACCUGGAGAGAGUGUUGUACCCCAACAUAAGCUGGUGGUUGCUGACUUCCGCUUUCGGAUUCGUGUCCAGUGGGAUAAGCGUGCCAAAGUCGCUAGAACGAAGUGGUGGAAGCCCAAGGGGGAGGUAGCUCAGGCGUUCAAGGAGAGGGUCAUUAAGGAGGGCCCUUGGGAGGAAGGAGGGGAUGCGGACAAUGUGUGGAUGAAGAUGGUGACUUGCAUUCGUAAGGUGGCCUCGGAGGAGUUUGGAGUGUCCAGGGGAAGGAGAAGCGAAGAUAAGGAUACCUGGUGGUGGAAUGAUGAUGUCCAGAAGGCGAUUAAAGAGAAGAAAGAUUGCUUCAGCGCCUAUACCUGGAUAGGAGUGCAGACAACAUAG